CAAUCUUACCUUUCAAUUAUUGGAAGACCGUUUCGUUUAAACCGUUAAGUUAAAGUUUCUUUUAAAUCGUUAAGACCGUACGUACGUAACUCAAUUGGUUGAUGUGAGGUUUUAUGGAUACAGCCGUGAAGACUUCAGAAACUGGGUGGAAGCUAUGACGACGAGUGUGUGUUGUUGUUGGUCUCGUCAAAAUAGCCUUUCAUUAUGCCGAUUAAAAUCCGUCAGAUCUCUUUGAAGUACAACAAGCUUUUAAUGCAAUUAUGGAAACAAUCACUUGGAGUCAAAUUCAAACAAAACCUAUGCUCCAAUGGGACAUGUCGUAUGUUGUACGUGUAUAUAUCAAGUAUGUUAUGAUUUGCAGUGUCUCUCCGAAGCUUCUCUCAAAAGAAUAUGCUAAGCAAUCAACUCACGAAUCAUAUAAG
Daphnia carinata is the source of this 422-nucleotide long non-coding RNA. RefSeq lists it as uncharacterized. The record is from RefSeq and is a predicted model, not a curated record. The transcript has 3 exons. NCBI's taxonomy places the organism in Eukaryota, Metazoa, Arthropoda, Branchiopoda, Diplostraca, Daphniidae.